AUUGAACGCUGGCGGCAGGCCUAACACAUGCAAGUCGAGCGGAGCGGCGUACGGGUGAGUAAUGCCUAGGAAUCUGCCUGGUAGUGGGGGAUAACUUCCGGAAACGGGCGCUAAUACCGCAUACUAUCAGAUGAGCCUAGGGCGGAUUAGCUAGGUGGUGGGGUAAAGGCUUACCAAGGCGACGAUCCGUCACUGGUCUGAGAGGAUGAUCAGUCACAAGGGAACUGAGACACGGUCCAGACUCCUACGUGAGGCAGCAGUGGGGAAUAUUGGACAAUGGGAGAAAGCCGGAUCCAGCCAUGCCGCGUGUGUGAAGAAGGUCUUCGGAGUGGAAAGCACUUUAAGUCGGGAGGCGUUACCAACAGAAUAAGCACCGGCUAACUUCGUGCCAGCAGCCGCGGUAAUUC
RNAcentral lists this ribosomal RNA (407 nucleotides) under uncultured bacterium. RNAcentral describes it as "partial 16S ribosomal RNA". It matches the Rfam family "Bacterial small subunit ribosomal RNA", at positions 30 to 526 of the family's 1533-position model. The record is from RNAcentral.